This is a long non-coding RNA of Anguilla rostrata (American eel), 346 nucleotides long. RefSeq lists it as uncharacterized. NCBI's taxonomy places the organism in Eukaryota, Metazoa, Chordata, Actinopteri, Anguilliformes, Anguillidae. The transcript has 2 exons. The record is from RefSeq and is a predicted model, not a curated record.
AACUUCCUUUACCCAAAUUCAAAUGAUGAGGGUGGGAUUUGGAAUGUUCUGACCAAGGGGAUGGAGGUGUAGGAAUGCAAUGCACAGAGCUGGCAUCCAGAAGGUUGUUGGCUUUAUUCCCAGUUACCAUCUGUCAGGACCUAACUUACUCUCCUUCAGCUCCUAAAUUAUUCUCUUUUCGAGUAAUUUAAGAGCUGCUCAUGCAGUUUUGCCUCAACAUUCCAGUGCACACACUUGUGUCACAUUAAGAAAGCCGCUGGACACACCAUAAUUUUCCAUCUGCUCCAGCAGCUGCACACCACACUCCUGCUGCCGCGGGUAGUGAUUGUACAUCCGCUGGAUAAAG